RNAcentral lists this transfer RNA (73 nucleotides) under Bos taurus (domestic cattle). It matches the Rfam family "tRNA". From Rfam's summary of the family: Transfer RNA (tRNA) molecules are approximately 80 nucleotides in length. Their secondary structure includes four short double-helical elements and three loops (D, anti-codon, and T loops). The record is from Rfam by way of RNAcentral. RNAcentral also lists the same sequence under 5 other names. Lineage: Eukaryota; Metazoa; Chordata; Mammalia; Artiodactyla; Bovidae.
GCUCCAGUAGCUCAGUUAGUAGAGCAUGGGACUGUUAAUCCCAGGGUCAUGUGUUCAAGCCCAGUGCUGGGUG